Long non-coding RNA from Ictalurus punctatus (channel catfish), 3747 nucleotides. NCBI's taxonomy places the organism in Eukaryota, Metazoa, Chordata, Actinopteri, Siluriformes, Ictaluridae. The record is from Ensembl.
CGUACUGACGGAGAGGGGGUUUAUUGCUCAUUCUUGCUUUCCGUUUUCUGUAGAUUUGGGGUUUUUUCACGUGACAGUGCCCCCUAGUGAACACGCUCAUGUCACGUGAAUCAGGUCCUGACCUGCUCGCAGAUGCACCCUUUCAGAAGCCUAAAUCUGACCCUGACCUCCAUACAGACACACUGACCCAGGCAGCUGGAUUACAAUGAGCUCCACCAGGCCUGGAGCAGGUAGAACAUUCCAGUGACGGAGAUCACCUUGAGGCAAAUACCCCGAUUACACAGCAACGUAAAUAGUUUGCCGAGUAAAAGGAAAAAACCGUACUGGAAGCAGAGAGGAGAGCUAAGCUAUGUACGGGAUAAAUAAAAUGAGAGAAACGUUGGUGCAGUAAUACCCUGGUCUAAUCCAGGUCACCACACUGCUCUCGUUCCUCGGAGAUGAAAAGUGAGGAGCUUAUUAAAUCCGAAGCUCCAUGGUACAGUAGAACAAUGACACUCGCGGCCAAAACGAGGACAGCGAGGAAACGAGCCAGAGACGGAGAGAAUGCCAACAAAGAGCCAUCACCAGCGAGCAGCCAAAACAUGACAGGAGGAGCGCAUCAGGAGCUCAAGAGGAGAAAAAAAAAAAAACACAUACUUGUUUGGCCUUGGCCUCACAACACAAUCGAAGAGUUUUUGUUAUGGCUCCUUUACUGAAAUCUAAAGCACAUCGAGGACAUCAACAAUCAAGAGUUCAAGGAAAAGAAUCGGAGGAAGAAAAACCUGUAAUAACGGAGCAAAAACCGCGGACAAGAAAGCAAAGAUCUGCUCAAUAAAUCGGCUCACGGAGUGCAAGCGACACACGAUCAUCAAACAGCACCAGUCACACGGCUCGGCUGACAACGUUAGCUUCCUAAACACAGCGCUGCGCUAACUCUGGUGAUGCAACAGAUACUUCAGCUAACGUUAUCCCUUCAAGCAGCAGCGCUCUAAUCUCACGAACAAGCUAGCUAACGUCAGGCCUACCAUUAGAUCAACCCCAAAUAAACCCGCAGACAGUUACACUAGCAGGGUAGCUAACGUUAGGCCAUCAGGCGAACAAUAAUGUAAUCAAAUGUUUAAGAAUGCUAAUUUAUAAAGUAACAAACCUGGUGGGGGUGGGGUGGGGGAGGCUAAUGCACUCACAUUAUUUAUCUCUAAUAAAAAUAUUUAGUCCGAGACAAAAACUCAAACUGAUCUUAAAACUGAGAGCGUGUGAAAUAAAUUUUUAAUCACAGGAGCUGAAGUGUGUGUUCAAGGCUGGGUGUAAGGGGAGAACCCAAUCAGACGAGCGCUAACGUUUCACUCGCCAACAAAGUGCCAUGUGUUUGGGCCGUGCCAGGAGCAGUGUGUGUGUGUGUGUGUGUGUGUGUGAGAGAGAGAGAGAGAGAGAAAGAGAGAGUGUGUAAAAUGGAGGGUGUGUGAGUGUUUGGUGGGGUCUCAAAAUCCAGCCUCUGUAAUUUCCAGCAAAGCAACACUGACACCACACACACACACACACACACACACACACACACACACACACACACACACACACGCCUCUCUUCAGGAUCAGACUGAAACUCUGAGGAUGGAGUUUUUCCUUCAGGAUGAAUGCUGUUCAGCGUGAGGAGGAAACACAGGGAGAGUCGUCGCAUAAACUGAAACAGAUGGAGCUCGAGCGGCUGCUUGUUCACAAGCAAACUCACAGAAUCCUGACCGAGUCAGCUUCACGCCGAGUCCGCUUCACGAGUCUACAUCACAGCGAGUCAGCUUCACGAGUCUCAUCACAGCGAGUCAGCAUCACGAGUCUCAUCACAGCGAGUCAGCUUCACGAGUCUCAUCACAGCGAGUCAGCUUCACGACGAGCCCGCUUCACGCCGAGCCCGCUUCACGCCGAGCCCGCUUCACGCCGAGCCCGCUUCACGCGACACCACUGCUGUGUUUCGGGUUUUUAAAGCCGAUGAGGAAAUGACUGAAGUGGCAGCUUCAUUGUUGGGGUUUGUGAAGAGGUUACAGAGCGUUGUGCUCCUUCCUCCUCCAUCAUGCCUUCUCAAAUCCACCUUCUCCACCGAACUCGUACGUGAUCACAGUGGAGAAGGAGGGAGUGUCUUUCAGGACAGUCGCGAUGCUCAAAAAGACAAACAGAAAUUCAUUAUUUUAUAAAAAUGAGCCACACGUUUCACUCCACAUGAAUAUUUAUGAGCGAAUAAUUAUUUCAUCACCACACAGAGUCCACAAACGUCGUCAGAGAAACCGCUCGGAUAUUUAUCCAAAUAAACAAAAACACUGUUUAAUAAAAUGUCUCACUAUCGCAAUAUAAACAUAAAUAAACAAAAACAAAUGAAAACACACGCACAUUCGAUUUUACACACCAGUCGCUGAUGGGAAAACUGCUUCUUUCGCAAAUUUUCAGAAACGUAUUUAAUAAUUAAACUGAAAUCCAGACGUCUCGCAAAAACACUGGCCCUGCGCUUCAUUCGGAAACGACUAGAGCCGAGGUUUUAUUAUUUUAUUAUGUUUAAUUUUAACGGUCUUCAAUAGAAAUGAUUAUUGUUAUAUACUCCAUUAAGAAAGAACAAAGAUGAAAUGAUGCUAAAAUCAAGCCACAGAUUAAAAGAGAAGUUGAGCAUUUUGGGAACUGAUGUUUCCUUCCCGUAGAUUUAAGUGAGCAGUGCAACAAACACCACACACACACACACACACACACACGAUUAAUGACAGGAAGUGGAACACCAGCAGAGCUCAGACCCGCCCCUCAGGCUACAGAGCCGAUUCCUCUGCAGAUUUCCGUGUAAACGAGGUUCGGGAGCCUCGGCUCCUCACCUGAACCUCUGCAGAACUUCGGUUACGUUUCAGUCUGAACCUCAACUACAUCACCGAGAAGAAAAAGCCUUCCCUGAAGAGCCAGGAAGCAGGACACAGAGGGAGAAAAUCCUCACGAAGAAAAACAAACUAAACAAAAAGGCAGACAGAAAACUUCAACUCCCUCUGUUCCUGAAUUCUACUUCCUGUCAGCGAAAAAACCCUCAAAACAUCACGGGGGGGGCAGAGAGAGAGAGAGAGAGAGAGAGAGAGAGAGAGAGAGAGAGAGAGGGAGACAGAGAGAGAGAGAGAGAGAGAGAGAGAGAGAGAGAGAGAGAGAGAAACGAGUGAAGCUCCAGUCUCACCUCGCUCUUCCCUCUCUAUUGAUUUUUGCUUGCACCAUUUUCUCUCUCUUUUUAUUCAUAUCGUCCUUCCUUUCAUCGUUAUUUUACCGUCCUUUCUGUUCUCUUCCUUCUGUUCUUUUAUAUCACUUCCUUUUCCCAUCAUUCUUUUCCUUCAUUUUUACCCUUUCCCUUCAUUUUCUCCGUUUGUUCUUGCUCUUUCCCGCGUCUCCUCAGGAACAGUGAGACGAGCGGAGGUAUCUCUGUAACUGACGACACGGCUGAUAUUUUGAUCUGAAACUUACAGGGUUUUAAAAUGAAACACCUUUUUUUUUCCCUGCAAAACCUUGCUUUCAGAAUUAUUGGCACCCCCAGAGUUGUUAAUAGGUGGAACCCCGUGUCCUCUGGGCAGAAGAACAGCACCGAGUCACUUCCUGUGAGUUCUAACGAGCCUGUAGAAGCUUUUGGAAAAUGUCUGACUGUGUUUACCGCAGCAGUAAUCCUGCUUCAUCUCUCACAGCCUUUUAUUUCCCCGUCACUCCACUUCCACGGUCUCUGUUUUAUCUUCACCCCAUGUUUUAUAGUGUUUUUAAUCAGACACAAAC